This 429-nucleotide long non-coding RNA is filed under the name Trifolium pratense (red clover). RNAcentral's name for it is "long non-coding RNA (TPRA_LNC012333)". The record is from RNAcentral. Lineage: Eukaryota; Viridiplantae; Streptophyta; Magnoliopsida; Fabales; Fabaceae.
UGAAUUUGAUGCAUUAAGAUUGGAAAGUGAAAUUCUAGUAUGACAUUUUUUUUUUUACCUUCAGAUGCAUAGCAAUGUUCUUCACAUUUUCUUAUGUGUGGUUGGUGGGUGAGGAUGAAUUUUGGUGAUGAAUUCUUUCUUGAUUUGGGGAUAGUUUGGGUAUGUAUGUAUUUAUUUUAUUUUUUUCUAGUAUUUUAUUAUGUUUUCAUUUUAAAUUAAUGUUAAUUAAAACAAAAACCAUGUGGACAUUAAAAAGUCCAACAAAUCAAUAAAUAUCCUAGUCAGAUGCCAAAUCAUAGGACACAUCAUCAUAGUUAACUGAUGUUUAACGUUUUGGACUAAACUGACUAACGUAAUUAACAAUCGGGGACGUUUUUUUAAUUUCCGUUCAUUCAUGGACUAUUAUGACAGCGAGCGACACUUACAGGG